Molecule: long non-coding RNA, 1079 nt
Organism: Panthera uncia (snow leopard)
Lineage: Eukaryota; Metazoa; Chordata; Mammalia; Carnivora; Felidae
Exons: 5
Source: RefSeq, a predicted model, not a curated record
GAGACCAACAGAAUUAGGUAGCAGUGAUGUCAGUUUGGAGGCUAGGUUAUAAAGGGCAUUAUGACUUUUACCCCUCUCCCAGAUCAUUCACUCUGGGGGAACUCAGCUUCCAUGUCUUGAGAACCAUCAGACAACCCUGUGGAUUAGACCAUGCAGUGACAAACUGAAGCCUCCAGCCCACAGCUAUGUGAUUACCAUUUCAGAAGUGGAUCCUCCAGCCCUGGUCAAGCCUUUAAAUAACUGCAUUUUUGGCUGACAGCUUAAUAUUCUGAGCCAGAGCCACUCAGAGAAGCAGCUCCCAGAUUUCAGACUCUCAGGAAUUGUGUGAGAUAAUAAGCAGCCUUAACUAUCAUGGCUGUAGGUCAUGCCUGUCCAACCACAAGCCACAUUGUGCAGCCUCCUUUGCUGCGGAGUGUUUCAUGUGACUGAGCUCUUGAUACUGGAAUGCAUCAGAAGCUAUUUGUGCCCUUCUGGACUAUGCUUUCAAGGGACUAGACAUUGUGCGCCUUUCCUCCUUCUUAUGGGCCAGGAUGGUGACAAGCAGAGUGACCUUAGAAGCCACAUGUUUAGGAUGACAGAAACUCUGUUCUGCCAAGUCCCUGAAUGACCUGGAGUUCAUGGAGCUGAACCCUUCCAAGCUGGAACACCCCUCUGAACCAUUUCGUUAGAGAGAAAUAAAGCUUCUAUUAUGUUUGAAUGAUUAUAUUUUAAGGUCUAUGUUUUCCAACAAGGGAAGGUGUGACUGAACAUGAUGGCACGUUCAAGACUAGACUGAACAUGGCAGCCGAGCCCAAAAAAAGAAAAUGAGAGGAAGAGUCAGCAUCUGAAGAGAGAUGACUGAAGUUCUUCUAAUGGCGAUUACUAUGUGAAGAUGUCACAGGGCAUCAUGACAUCCACAGGAAAAAGAAAUUUCUGUCUCUGCUGGGUUGGAACUAGCCUUUUAUUUCCUUGCAUCACCUCACCUUCUCAUCCCUUCAAGCCUUUUCUUUCCUGCCUCAGUAAGUUCUCUCCUCAUUUCAUCGUCUAAGUCUAAAUUAUCUGUAUAUCCUUUUUCCACCUGGCCUAGUUUAGAGGUAAGC